This 1388-nucleotide ribosomal RNA is filed under the name Streptomyces sp. MML2613. RNAcentral's name for it is "bacterial SSU rRNA". It matches the Rfam family "Bacterial small subunit ribosomal RNA". The record is from RNAcentral. Lineage: Bacteria; Bacillati; Actinomycetota; Actinomycetes; Kitasatosporales; Streptomycetaceae.
UGCAGUCGAACGAUGAACCGCUUUCGGGCGGGGAUUAGUGGCGAACGGGUGAGUAACACGUGGGCAAUCUGCCCUGCACUCUGGGACAAGCCCUGGAAACGGGGUCUAAUACCGGAUAUGACCGUCUGCCGCAUGGUGGAUGGUGUAAAGCUCCGGCGGUGCAGGAUGAGCCCGCGGCCUAUCAGCUUGUUGGUGAGGUAGUGGCUCACCAAGGCGACGACGGGUAGCCGGCCUGAGAGGGCGACCGGCCACACUGGGACUGAGACACGGCCCAGACUCCUACGGGAGGCAGCAGUGGGGAAUAUUGCACAAUGGGCGAAAGCCUGAUGCAGCGACGCCGCGUGAGGGAUGACGGCCUUCGGGUUGUAAACCUCUUUCAGCAGGGAAGAAGCGAAAGUGACGGUACCUGCAGAAGAAGCGCCGGCUAACUACGUGCCAGCAGCCGCGGUAAUACGUAGGGCGCAAGCGUUGUCCGGAAUUAUUGGGCGUAAAGAGCUCGUAGGCGGCUUGUCACGUCGGUUGUGAAAGCCCGGGGCUUAACCCCGGGUCUGCAGUCGAUACGGGCAGGCUAGAGUUCGGUAGGGGAGAUCGGAAUUCCUGGUGUAGCGGUGAAAUGCGCAGAUAUCAGGAGGAACACCGGUGGCGAAGGCGGAUCUCUGGGCCGAUACUGACGCUGAGGAGCGAAAGCGUGGGGAGCGAACAGGAUUAGAUACCCUGGUAGUCCACGCCGUAAACGGUGGGCACUAUGUGUGGGCAACAUUCCACGUUGUCCGUGCCGCAGCUAACGCAUUAAGUGCCCCGCCUGGGGAGUACGGCCGCAAGGCUAAAACUCAAGGAAUUUGACGGGGGCCCGCACAGCGGCGGAGCAUGUGGCUUAAUUCGACGCAACGCGAAGAACCUUACCAAGGCUUGACAUACACCGGAAACGUUUGGAGACAGGCGCCCCCUUGUGGUCGGUGUACAGGUGGUGCAUGGCUGUCGUCAGCUCGUGUCGUGAGAUGUUGGGUUAAGUCCCGCAACGAGCGCAACCCUUGUCCCGUGUUGCCAGCAGGCCCUUGUGGUGCUGGGGACUCACGGGAGACCGCCGGGGUCAACUCGGAGGAAGGUGGGGACGACGUCAAGUCAUCAUGCCCCUUAUGUCUUGGGCUGCACACGUGCUACAAUGGCCGGUACAAUGAGCUGCGAUACCGUGAGGUGGAGCGAAUCUCAAAAAGCCGGUCUCAGUUCGGAUUGGGGUCUGCAACUCGACCCCAUGAAGUCGGAGUCGCUAGUAAUCGCAGAUCAGCAUUGCUGCGGUGAAUACGUUCCCGGGCCUUGUACACACCGCCCGUCACGUCACGAAAGUCGGUAACACCCGAAGCCGGUGGCCCAACCCCUUGUGGGAGGGA